This 164-nucleotide ribosomal RNA is filed under the name uncultured bacterium. Its description in RNAcentral is "partial 16S ribosomal RNA". It matches the Rfam family "Bacterial small subunit ribosomal RNA", at positions 355 to 511 of the family's 1533-position model. The record is from RNAcentral.
UAGGGAAUCUUCCACAAUGGACGCAAGUCUGAUGGAGCAACGCCGCGUGAGUGAAGAAGGGUUUCGGCUCGUAAAGCUCUGUUGUUAAAGAAGAACACGUAUGAGAGUAACUGUUCAUACGUUGACGGUAUUUAACCAGAAAGUCACGGCUAACUACGUGGCAG